CGUACACUCCUACGGGAGGCAGCAGUGGGGAAUAUUGCACAAUGGGCGCAAGCCUGAUGCAGCCAUGCCGCGUGUAUGAAGAAGGCCUUCGGGUUGUAAAGUACUUUCAGCGGGGAGGAAGGCGAUAAGGUUAAUAACCUUGUUGAUUGACGUUACCCGCAGAAGAAGCACCGGCUAACUCCGUGCCAGCAGCCGCGGUAAUACGGAGGGUGCAAGCGUUAAUCGGAAUUACUGGGCGUAAAGCGCACGCAGGCGGUCUGUCAAGUCGGAUGUGAAAUCCCCGGGCUCAACCUGGGAACUGCAUUCGAAACUGGCAGGCUAGAGUCUUGUAGAGGGGGGUAGAAUUCCAGGUGUAGCGGUGAAAUGCGUAGAGAUCUGGAGGAAUACCGGUGGCGAAGGCGGCCCCCUGGACAAAGACUGACGCUCAGGUGCGAAAGCGUGGGGAGCAAACAGGAUUAGAUACCCGGGUAGUCCCA
This 476-nucleotide ribosomal RNA is filed under the name uncultured organism. Its description in RNAcentral is "partial 16S ribosomal RNA". It matches the Rfam family "Bacterial small subunit ribosomal RNA", at positions 330 to 797 of the family's 1533-position model. The record is from RNAcentral.